RNAcentral lists this ribosomal RNA (91 nucleotides) under Metabacillus malikii. The record is from RNAcentral. Lineage: Bacteria; Bacillati; Bacillota; Bacilli; Caryophanales; Bacillaceae.
CACCCGUUCCCAUGCCGAACACGGAAGUUAAGCUCUUCAGCGCCGAUGGUAGUUAGGGGCUUCCCCUUGUGAGAGUAGGACGUUGCCAGGU